Erysiphe necator (grape powdery mildew) is the source of this 72-nucleotide transfer RNA. It matches the Rfam family "tRNA". Rfam says of the family: Transfer RNA (tRNA) molecules are approximately 80 nucleotides in length. Their secondary structure includes four short double-helical elements and three loops (D, anti-codon, and T loops). Lineage: Eukaryota; Fungi; Ascomycota; Leotiomycetes; Helotiales; Erysiphaceae. The record is from Rfam.
GCCCUCGUAGCUCAAUGGUAGAGCGCGUCACUAGUAAUGACGAGGUUGCCGGUUCGAUUCCGUCCGAGGGCA